GUCGUGUUAACUUGGGGACCAGAAGUGGAUUUGUCGUGCAGUUUCUCUGAUGAGACAGUGCUGAUGUUUGAACUUAGGGCCCCUGAGUGCUGGCUCAAUGCUCUGCCACUAACUGUGUCCCCAGCCCUGGAUCCUGCUUUAGAUUACACAGCCUCAUUGAUUCAGCUCUCUGUGGACGUCAUCACACUGGUGGGAGUGUAAGUGAGCAAGAGUGAUCACAUGCAAAGCUGUACAAUGUGAUGCAGCCCUCUGCCAGCAGAUCUGUUACUAAAGGAAUUCAUGCAUCUUGCAUCUUGAAGAUGCAUUAUUAAUGCCUGGACAAAUCACAUCAGGUGAAACCCAGCAAGUCCCCGGCACUGAAGAAAAGGAACAAAGGCUGCUUCUACAAGAGAGCAAUGGAUGAGACAAAUUAUAACAGCUGGGAGUUUCCUGAACUUUGGCCAAUUUCUUCAUUAUACCCUGCGAGAAAUAGCCUGCGGUCAAGUUAAUUCAAGAGAGAAUGCAUGAAGUCAAGAGCUCUGGCAGGCAGGAAUGACAGUAUUGACCCAAGCCUCUGCUGCUAUCAGCCAAGUGGACCACUUAUGUCGUAAAGAAAACCAGCACGGCUGGACUCUCAGCUGUUAGAACUCAGGUUGCUAUUUGCCUUUUUGGACUCUUGUUUCCCACUGAAUACAUUUUAUUUUAUU
This is a long non-coding RNA of Mesocricetus auratus (golden hamster), 686 nucleotides long. RefSeq lists it as uncharacterized. The transcript is spliced from 4 exons. The record is from RefSeq and is a predicted model, not a curated record. NCBI's taxonomy places the organism in Eukaryota, Metazoa, Chordata, Mammalia, Rodentia, Cricetidae.